Molecule: ribosomal RNA, 407 nt
Filed under: Verrucomicrobiota bacterium
Lineage: Bacteria; Pseudomonadati; Verrucomicrobiota
Description: Verrucomicrobia bacterium partial 16S ribosomal RNA
Rfam family: Bacterial small subunit ribosomal RNA
Source: RNAcentral
UGGGGAAUAUUGGACAAUGGAGGAAACUCUGAUCCAGCAAUUCUGUGUGUGUGAAGAAGGUUUUAGGACUGUAAAACACUUUUAGUAGGGAAGAAAAAAAUGACGGUACCUACAGAAGAAGCAACGGCUAAAUACGUGCCAGCAGCCGCGGUAAUACGUAUGUUGCGAGCGUUAUCCGGAAUUAUUGGGCUUAAAGGGCAUCUAGGCGGUAAGACAAGUUGAAGGUGAAAACCUGUGGCUCAACCAUAGGCUUGCCUACAAAACUGUUGGACUAUAGGACUGGAAAGGUGGGUGGAACUACACGAGUAGAGGUGGAAUUCGUAGAUAUGUGUAGGAAAGCCGAUGAUGAAGAUAACUCACUGGACAGAAACUGACGCUGAAGUGCGAAAGCUAGGGGAGCAAACAGG